AACGAACGCUGGCGGCGUGCUUAACACAUGCAAGUCGAACGCGAAAGUGGUCUUCGGACCGCGAGUAGAGUGGCGCACGGGUGAGUAACGCGUAGAUAAUCUACCCUGGUGUUUGGAAUAACCAGCCGAAAGGCUGACUAAUACCGGAUACAUGUAUGCCUGCGGGGGCAUACAGGAAAGGUGGCCUCUGACGUAAGCCAUCGCACUGGGAUGAGUCUGCGUACCAUUAGCUUGUUGGUGGGGUAAUGGCCUACCAAGGCGACGAUGGUUAGCGGGUCUGAGAGGAUGAUCCGCCACACUGGCACUGGAACACGGGCCAGACUCCUACGGGAGGCAGCAGUGAGGAAUAUUGCGCAAUGGGGGCAACCCUGACGCAGCGACGCCGCGUGAGUGAGGAAGGCCUUCGGGUCGUAAAGCUCUGUCAGCAGGGAAGAAGUGUGAGGGGGUUAACAGCCUUUUCAUUUGACGGUACCUGCAGAGGAAGCACCGGCUAACUCCGUGCCAGCAGCCGCGGUAAUACGGAGGGUGCGAGCGUUGUUCGGAAUUACUGGGCGUAAAGGGCGCGCAGGCGGCUUUAUAAGUCAGAUGUGAAAGUCCACGGCUUAACUGUGGAAGUGCAUUUGAAACUGUGAGGCUUGAGUACCAGAGGGGAAGGUGGAAUUCCCGGUGUAGAGGUGAAAUUCGUAGAUAUCGGGAGGAAUACCGGUGGCGAAGGCGACUUUCUGGCUGGAUACUGACGCUGAGGCGCGAAAGCGUGGGGAGCAAACA
This 768-nucleotide ribosomal RNA is filed under the name bacterium enrichment culture clone SC18B5-41. Its description in RNAcentral is "bacterial SSU rRNA". It matches the Rfam family "Bacterial small subunit ribosomal RNA", at positions 28 to 774 of the family's 1533-position model. The record is from RNAcentral.